AAUAUUCUCAUGACCAAAAUUAUUGAGCUAUUGCUGGUGGAAAAUAACAUUUUGGCAUAAAAAAUUCUCAUCCCGCUGGCGGCUUCAUUUCGCGCAUUUCACUCGAAGAACAAAUUCAUUUCGCGCUUUUGAGUUGGCUUUGGUCUUCUUCAUCACUCUUGGGCUACGCGACCAAUUUUCCAGUUCUCUUUCUUCCUAUGGCAGGUGACCCACGAUUUCAUCUUCUUACGGUCUUACCAGCAGCCGAAGCAUUUCUCCCAAAUCCCCACGCCGUCAUCGUUUGCCACCGUCGUGGCCCCAUCGCCUCCUGGAAUCCCGGAGACUGCAAAUGCAACAUGUCUUUUUAACCAAUUGAACCCUGGAUCUGUGCAGCACGUCCCCAUCAUAAAAAUAAGGAUAACAUGCUCCAGGUGAGUCUAAUAACUUGGGGAAUGGCAAUCAGACAGAACCGGGUUGCCAAGAAUACAGCCUACUGAUCGGUGGCAAUGUAAGGGGAGACUAAGGGCUAGAGAAACAGGUGAACGGUGCAAAAGAAAAAAAAAAUAUUUAAUUUUUUUUUUGUUGGUUUUUGUUGUCAGAAUGUACCAACUAUCUGUAUCUAUCUUGUUUGUCUCAAAACAUGUAGCAAUAUUUCCAGUGUGUACAAUUCAGAAAUUAGAUAAAAAAUUACCUGCCAAAAGAGAAUUUCUUGCAUGGU
Molecule: long non-coding RNA, 697 nt
Organism: Carya illinoinensis
Lineage: Eukaryota; Viridiplantae; Streptophyta; Magnoliopsida; Fagales; Juglandaceae
Exons: 4
Source: RefSeq, a predicted model, not a curated record